Molecule: ribosomal RNA, 419 nt
Filed under: Chlamydomonas reinhardtii
Lineage: Eukaryota; Viridiplantae; Chlorophyta; Chlorophyceae; Chlamydomonadales; Chlamydomonadaceae
Description: bacterial LSU rRNA
Rfam family: Bacterial large subunit ribosomal RNA
Source: RNAcentral
AAGAUGCGGACUACCUACACCUGGACAGAAAGACCCUAUGAAGCUUGACUGUAUCUUGGAAUUGGGUUUGGGCUUUUCUUGCGCAGCCUAGGUGGGAGGCUAUGAAGAUUACCUUCCGUGGUAAUUAGAGCCGUCAUUGAGAGACCACUCUGGAAGAGCUAGAAUCCUAAUGGGGAUCCUUGAAUCAGGACACUUGACAGUUUCAGGUGGGCAGUUUAUUUGGGGCGAAUGCCUCCUAAAAGGUAACGGAGGCGUGCAAAGGUUCCCUCAGUCUGGACGGAAAUCAGACAUUGAGUGUAAAGGCAAAAGGGAGCUUGACUGCAAGACCUACAAGUCGAGCAGGGGCGAAAGCCGGCCUUAGUGAUCCGACGGUGCCGCGUGGAAGGGCCGUCGCUCAACGGAUAAAAGUUACUCUAGGG